GACGAACGCUGACGGCGUGCUUAACACAUGCAAGUCGAAGGGAGUGGCGAACGGGUGAGUAAAACGUGAGUAACCUGCCCGUUUCUUUGGGAUAAGCCUGGGAAACUGGGUCUAAUACUGGAUGGAGUGGGAUGGGCUCGCGGCGUAUCAGCUUGUUAGUGGGGUGACGACUUCCCAAGGCUUUGCCGGGUAGCCGGGCUGAGCGGGUGGACGGUCACGCUGGGACUGAGCUACGGCCCAGAGUCGGAAGGGAGGGAGAAGUGGGGGAUAUGGCAGAAUGGACGAGAGUCCGAUGCAGCGACGUGGUAGAGGGGAUGAGGGCCGUCGGGUUGUAAAAUCGUGUCGGAAGGGGAGUGGUAAUGGGUGAAGAAGCGCCGGCUAACUACGUGCCAGCAGCCGCGGUAAUUC
RNAcentral lists this ribosomal RNA (408 nucleotides) under uncultured bacterium. RNAcentral's name for it is "partial 16S ribosomal RNA". It matches the Rfam family "Bacterial small subunit ribosomal RNA", at positions 28 to 526 of the family's 1533-position model. The record is from RNAcentral.